UAGCAGCCAGACACAGAGCCUAUCGUGG
RNAcentral lists this non-coding RNA (28 nucleotides) under Mus musculus (house mouse). The record is from RNAcentral. Lineage: Eukaryota; Metazoa; Chordata; Mammalia; Rodentia; Muridae.